AAAGAUGUGAUCAAACCAACUGAAUGAAAUAUGAGUCCGUUCAGAAGAGAGCACAGGUGAACUGAAUGAUGAUAUGAACAAUCUGAGGACGAGGAGGACGAGGAGGACGAGGAUGAGGACGAGGAAGAGCAAGGUGUGAGAGUGUGGUCAAGGCUAAAUCCACACACUAGAGGGUUUCUUCUCAUCAUUUCCUGUCAUGUGACAGUACUGUAUAGAGGCGGGUUUAUAACACAUACAACCAAACCUGAUUAGUUUUGAUUUGACUCGGUUUCUUUAGCGUUUCAUCAAAGCCGUUUUAUAAAACUUUUUUCUGAAACUCAUCAGCAAAACAUCAGCACAGAUUUCGGAGCUGCGUCAAUGUUUCCUUUUUCCUGCUCAUCACAAGAUUCAAAUGGAGUGGAGAAAGAAAAUCACACAUCCAGAAAACUGCUGGAGCCCCAGAAAUCACAGAGCAGCAGAAAACAAGAAGACAGAGAGAAAAAUGGAGACACAAACCAGUGGAUCACAAGAGAAAAGAGAACUGAGACUUGUUAGAUGUGAGAGUAUGGACAGAAUAAAGCCAAGCUUGUCAUGUGAUCCAGAUGAGCCUAUAAAGUUUGAUUCUGAUGUCAAAACUGAGGAGAGAUUCUCUCAUCAAAACCCUUCAUCAUGUUCUCAAGAACACACAUCAGAUACCAGCAGCUGAAGACCUGAACAUCUUUUGAAAACGAGUUUCAAAGUGUAUGUUUUUGAAAAUAAUACCGUUAUCGUCUCGGUGUCAACUACAAAAACAUGAAUCUGUGAAAACGUUGACGUCACGUACAUGUGUUUUACGCCUUCAGUCUAUAUGCACAUAGUUUUCUUUACAAAGUGGCAUCGCCAUCUACUGGCCUGGCAGCAGAAUACAGCGAUUUCAGUUGUUUCCGUGGAUCCAUGUGAACGUGGAUUGUUUUGAUAAUGUUGUCUGUAUACGAAAAACGCAGUUGUUUAAUGGACAGUUUCUUCCUCAGAUCAGUGUCUCAAUCCUGCUCAGCUGCUGCACUUUACUGACACACCGGUGUUUGAUAGUGAACACUUGAAGAUGCUUUAUAUAAGACAGAGAAACACCCUGAACAGACAGCUGGUCCACUGUAGAAAUAUGCACAUUUAUACCUACAAACAAACUUCAUGUCUUCAGUUCACUGGAGAACUGUUUUUAUGUGUUUCUAGUCAUGAAGUGAGCGAGAUAUAUUAAAAUUUAGCUCUUAAGCAGACGUGUAUCAUGAUUAUAAGCAGGUUAAAGAGAGUCUGAGUCUCUCCAGCUCUACAGCGCCACUCAAUAUUCCAGUGUGAAUCUGUGGUGAAAAAUGGAACUGCAGCGCUCUAAUUUUCGUCAGAUUUGAAACCGCCUGCUUAUUUUCACGUUACCUUACAUAAACUAAAAAGUAUAUGUGUAAAUCCUCAUAUGGUGUUAUAUUAAUAAUCUCUCUUUGAAUGUCACUAAGACUAAGGAGAUGAUCAUUGAUAUGGAAGUAAAUAAGUGAGGAAGUACAGCACCUUGAUGAUCGGUGGAGUCAUAGCUGAAGGGUGAGCAGUUUUAAACAUCUUGAGGUAUAUCUUACAGAAGGUCUUUACUGGAAAAUCGAUAUUCGUCACUUCAUAAGGAGGGCAACUCAACUCAUCUAUCAUUUACGAUGGCUAGCCAGGUUUAAGGUUUCUCAAAAAGUGCUGAGGAGCUGUGGAGAGCCUACUCACACGAGAGUAUUAUUCCUGGUUUGGAAGCACAACGGACCAAGAUCAUAAAGUGUUGUCCAGAGUGGUAUGGUCCACAGAGAAAGCCAUCAGGAUUUCUUUCCUCAGCAUCAAAAACAUUUACACUCGGAGAUGCAGGACCAGGACCAUAGAAUUAUUAAAGACUUUCACCAUCCUGGACACAGCUUAUUGUCAUUCCUCAUACUGGAUCCUGAGAACCGACACAGAGAGACUGAGGAGGAGUUUUUAUCCUCAGGGAAUCCAGCUAUUGAAUAAGGCAACUGAAUGAGUCUGCAGAACUUUUAAACCUCAUAUAAACACAUAUAUUAUUAUCAUAUAUCGAUUUUAUGUAUACUUCUGAUGCUUUUAUAUAUUAUUGGUUUAUUUUUUAUGCUAUUUUUCUUAGUUUUUUGCAUUGUCCAUAUGUCAAUUUUUGCAAGAAACUAGGGGAAAACCAUUUCACUACAUGCAUCACAUGUUUAUGUGUGUGAAAAAUAAAGCACCUUGAACCUUGAGGGUAAUACAAUACUGUCUUU
Molecule: long non-coding RNA, 2246 nt
Organism: Megalobrama amblycephala (Wuchang bream)
Lineage: Eukaryota; Metazoa; Chordata; Actinopteri; Cypriniformes; Xenocyprididae
Exons: 3
Source: RefSeq, a predicted model, not a curated record